RNAcentral lists this long non-coding RNA (948 nucleotides) under Carassius auratus (goldfish). RNAcentral describes it as "lncRNA (ENSCARG00000049586.1)". Lineage: Eukaryota; Metazoa; Chordata; Actinopteri; Cypriniformes; Cyprinidae. The record is from RNAcentral.
AUAAAAUAAAAAUACUUAACAUGAAAUAUUAGUUCAUAAAAUACAAUAACAUGGGAAUGUUGGGAAUGUAUAUAUAUAUAUCACAUAACAACAGAAAAUAAGUAACUGGCAACAUGCAGGAAAUAAUGACAUAACAAAUGACGCAAAAGGAGGAGGAGGAACUAAAACUAGACAAGGGUUGAUGUUUUCACAUCUGCACAGUAAGGAAAUACUUGUGGCUGUAACAUGAUGAUAAAUCUCCAUACCGCCAUAUGGACCCUGAUGUCUUUGAUUCUGUCGGGUAAGACUUCCUUCACAACGACACAUCAGAUGUUUUGCUUCUGCUGCUGAGUAUAUAAUUUGCUUGAGAAGGCAAAUAUAGGAAUGCUGUUUACAUUGUAGAACCAGUUGUUUCUGAUUAAAUUCCUUCAGAAUUACUCAUAUGCUUCCAUUUCAGGCACUCUUGCUGCUAACUGGACAGUGCGUGUUCCUAAGGAUCCAGUUUAUGCUCCUUCUGGUUCUUCUGUAGUUUUGGAGUGCACCUAUGACUACCCUGAAGAGUCUGACCAGGGAAAACUGCACAAAGUACAGACAGAGAUGUGGUGUCUGAACGAAAGCCGCUGCAUUACUCCCAAAUACGUGUACCACAGUGCAGGGAUAUUCCCUGAGCCCUCAUACCAGGGCCGAGUCAAGUACUUGGGGCAGACAGGGAGCAAAAACUGCUCUCUGAUGUUAUCUGAUCUGAGGUCAGAAGACAGCGGCAUGUACGUGUUCCGGUUCAUCACCGACCAUCUGAAGGCCAAGCUACCAGGACAGAGAGGAGUGAAUCUACAGGUCACACAUCGGAUAGAAAUCCACAGCAAAUGUCAGCUCUUCACAAGAAGACAUGUCCACAAAGUUGAGGCACUUCCUCAGAGAAACCUAGCUUUCCUGACAUUGACUGUGGGAGAUUCACUUCAAAGUCUGUGA